UAUCCUACGGGGGGCAGCAGUGGGGAAUAUUGCACAAUGGGGGGAACCCUGAUGCAGCGACGCCGCGUGGGUGAAGGAGUAUUUCGGUAUGUAAAGCCCUAUCAGCAGGGAAGAACAAUGACGGUACCUGACUGAGAAGCACCGGCUAAAUACGUGCCAGCAGCCGCGGUAAUACGUAUGGUGCAAGCGUUAUCCGGAUUUACUGGGUGUAAAGGGAGCGCAGACGGCAGUGCAAGUCUGGAGUGAAAGCCCGGGGCCCAACCCCGGAACUGCUCUGGAAACUGUGCGGCUAGAGUACUGGAGGG
RNAcentral lists this ribosomal RNA (305 nucleotides) under uncultured bacterium. RNAcentral's name for it is "bacterial SSU rRNA". It matches the Rfam family "Bacterial small subunit ribosomal RNA", at positions 335 to 656 of the family's 1533-position model. The record is from RNAcentral.